CCCCUAUCGACCCCUACUCUGUCGCCUAUGCAUGUAACCUAGGCCUCCCCUUGGAACUAUAAAAGGAGAAGCCCAGGAGCGGAUACACAACACAAGACAUACGUAGUAGAGCAACCUUACUCCAUCUCCGUUCAUACCACGCCUAUAUUCACUCCUGUACAAGCACUUAGGUGCAAGAUAAUACAAACACUCCCCCCCACUGGACGUAGGGCCUUCUCUUGCCUGAACCAGGAUAAACCUUUGUGUCUUUUCUUGCAUCACCAUCUGGAAAGGGGAGCACGCACACACAAGUUUGACUCGUUGGUGUGACCCCCCAGGAGGAAAACACCGACAAAUCUUAUAUACAGAGAGGAGUAUAAAAAUAUUUCUGUCCGGAGAGCA
This 381-nucleotide long non-coding RNA is filed under the name Sorghum bicolor (sorghum). RNAcentral's name for it is "long non-coding RNA (SBIC_LNC014961)". The record is from RNAcentral. Lineage: Eukaryota; Viridiplantae; Streptophyta; Magnoliopsida; Poales; Poaceae.